RNAcentral lists this small nuclear RNA (77 nucleotides) under Homo sapiens (human). RNAcentral describes it as "partial ncRNA". The record is from RNAcentral. Lineage: Eukaryota; Metazoa; Chordata; Mammalia; Primates; Hominidae.
AGAACAACCUGAACCUUGGAGGCAGAAGUUGCAGUGAACUGAGAAUGUGCCUCUGCACUCCAGCCUGGGUGACAGAG